Eriocheir sinensis (Chinese mitten crab) is the source of this 1911-nucleotide long non-coding RNA. RefSeq lists it as uncharacterized. The record is from RefSeq and is a predicted model, not a curated record. Lineage: Eukaryota; Metazoa; Arthropoda; Malacostraca; Decapoda; Varunidae. The transcript is spliced from 5 exons.
UUGAAAGACGCGCAGAUAGAUGUCAGAUUCUCCCGUAGGGAGGUCUGGCAAGGUGUUAGUUUAGGCGGCGGAGUUGUACGCGGGCCAGUCUGUGUUACAGCUUUGCCGCCAGGGUAGCUCCUUCCGAGUUACUGAGGACCAGUUUUCCUCACAGGAGGAGGCUGGUGGGGCCUAGGGUGUUAGGGGUACAACGGUUGGCUCUUUCACAGAACGGGUGUUUUCCGUUCUGCGUUUGAGUCUGCCGCCUUUGGGCGUCUCCCUCUGAGAUGUCGGUUAGGAUUUCUUUUUUUUAUAUGUCCGUGUGUGUAACUGUUGCCUUUUAGCCUGUUGUGUUCCUGAGCAGCAAGAAGAGGCGGCUGUGGUGACCCGCCCGAUGCGGAAGGCUUCUGGGCCCUGUCGGCGGGGGCGCACCUCUCUGGCUGACUGGUUGACCAGGCUUUGACCAGGUGGCCGGGGAGGCGCAUCCUCGCUGGGCGGGGUCUGGGGGCCCUCCGUCUUGGGGAGGUCGCUGCAGCAGGAGGAGGUAACUACUGCUGGUUUUGUAAGGCAUUGUGGUUGAGAGCACCUUGCAGCUGUAACGCGAAUUUCGUUCCGUAAUAAACAAUGUACCGCCAUGCUGCCUGUCCUUCCUCCCUCCCAGCACUGUGUACGUCUGUGUGUGUGUGUGUUGCUUAAUUCUCCCUCACUGCACUGUGCGUCUGUGUGCGUGUUGCUUAAUUCUCCCUCACUGCACUGUGCGUACGUCUGUGUGUGUGUGUUGCUUAAUUCUCCCUCACUGCACUGUGCGUACGUCUGUGUGUGUGUGUUGCUUAAUUCUCCCUCACUGCACUGUGCAUACGUCUGUGUGUGUGUGUUGCUCUGUCUCUCUCUCUCAAUCUCUCUCUCUGUCUCUGUCUGUCUCUGUCUGUCUCUCUAUCUCUCAAUCUCUCUCUGUGUCUUUCUCUCUCUCUAGUUAGUAAAGAACGGGCAACGUUUGCCAUGGAAGACUCUACAGUAUAAGACUCUACAGUAUACAUAAGACUACAGUGUACAUCCCAACCCUCUACGGCCGUUGCUGCUCCACCCGGGCAUUACCACAUCCACCCGGGUCUACAAGAAACCUCCACGGCCGAGCCUCAACCACAGAACACACCGCUACGGUUGAUGAGGUUCCACGCCCCGGACUACCGCCAUGUUAGCCUCGAUAAUAGUCCUCGGCGCACUUGUUCUGAGACGUCCUGACUGGAGAGCUACACAACACUGGUCAUCUGCUGAGUGGUUGAUUUCCUGGUCUACCGGCCCCUGGAGGAGUGGUCAAUUUCCUGGUCUACCGUGGAUAUGAGUGGUUGAUUCCCUGGUUUACCCCUGGAUGACGCGGCUGUUCCUAUGCAGGGGAAGACUCACACAAGCGAUAAGCACCUGUCGGACCUGGAGACUCCCCCCUGAGCCUGACGGUGGAGCUGUGGGCCCUGCACCAGACCCCCACACCCCCCCCCACACCACCCAGAGCAGGGGCAGGGCGUUGAGACUCCCCCCACAGGCUAAGACAGGGAGGGACUUGAAGAUCCAGGUUUUUGUCAUCUGCACAGGAGUUGACACAUGAUGUCUAAGGUUUCGCCCAUGCAGCUGAAGGGUGCCAAUGCCUACACAUGCAUCGACCACAGGUGUGCGCUGGACAUUGCCUACAAUUCAUGGUGCAAAUGGGAGUGUCGGCGGAGAUCGAGCUGUCUGAAGGUUGGCAGCCGGGUCAAGCUCGCCUCGGACAAGGAGUUCUGUGAGAUGUGCUCGGCGGAUGUUGUUGACCUCGGCCACAUCAAUGCUACUAAGGUGGUGGAGGUGUGGAAACUACAUCUACAUUGACGACGGACUCAAGGAGAUCCCUGAGACUACUAUUAUUACUAUUACUACUAUGUGUUCUAUUAAAUCCUCUAU